Molecule: long non-coding RNA, 983 nt
Organism: Galleria mellonella (greater wax moth)
Lineage: Eukaryota; Metazoa; Arthropoda; Insecta; Lepidoptera; Pyralidae
Exons: 4
Source: RefSeq, a predicted model, not a curated record
AGAUUUGCCAGUAGUUGCCAUGCUUGGCGGACGGGUUAGCAACCGCAGUUAGGCUUUUAAAGAUGUUUUAAGAGGGACGCUGCUGCCCAUCACGACACUCACAUGAAAGGAAGGGUGGCUCAUACUAUACCGAGGCAGACGAGAGCGAAUACUUUAUUAGUAGCUGAUCCCUAGUGCGCUGACGUUAAUGAAGCUAUUAUUAAGCUGCGUUUGACGUGAUUUCAAUAAACGGUCGAGAAAGUUGCCGGCCACCUAUCGGAGACAACAAACGCACCCUACGCCUUGAGAUGCAACGCAACUAUGUGUUUUCGAAUCAAUUAUCUUAAAAAAUGUACAGUGUGCAUGUAUACGAAAUAUCCUGACGACUGAUUGAGUCGUUAAGAUGACAAGAGGAAACAAUCAAUCUUCGUUCACAUUUAUAAUAUAAAUAAGGUAAAAGCUUGGGUUUACAGAUUUGCUUUAAACCGCCCCUGUAUUAUAACGAAUAAAACAAAAAAAAUAUUCAGGGAAAAAAUAUAUUUAUAAAUCAGUCAAACCAUUUUUGAGUUUUAGCGAGUCUAACGAACAGCAAUUGAUUUAUAUAUAUUUAUGUAUUAAGUAUUGAUGUAUUAAUUUCUAAUUGUAUAACAACAUUAUAACACUUUUUUACAAUAGUUGAUUUAUUUUAAAGUGCAAGAAUUAUUAAGCUAUCUUUUGUCAAUCUUUUUCAUCGGUACUUACUGUUUGUAUCGGCACAGUGUUUUCCCAGCGUUUCAAAGAGAUUUACAUUAAUGUGAACAAAAAGUAUUUAUAAAACAUUCGACGCGCUUUUACGAAUCCAAUAAGUAUUCAAUUCGUAAUAAAAUUUUGUUUGUAUGCCAGUUAUUUGCAAAUAUUUGCAAACAUUCAUGUGCAUAGGUGAACGUUAUAAUUACAUUUAAUUAAAAUUUUAAAAUGUAUAAGUAUAGACAUUGAAGUAAUAAAAAAAUAUUUAUAUUUAUGCA